RNAcentral lists this ribosomal RNA (467 nucleotides) under uncultured bacterium. RNAcentral describes it as "bacterial SSU rRNA". It matches the Rfam family "Bacterial small subunit ribosomal RNA", at positions 329 to 793 of the family's 1533-position model. The record is from RNAcentral.
GACCAGACUCCUACGGGAGGCAGCAGUGAGGAAUAUUGGUCAAUGGUCGGGAGACUGAACCAGCCAAGCCGCGUGAGGGAUGAAGGUACAGAGUAUCGUAAACCUCUUUUGUCAGGGAACAAAGGCGGGGGCGUGUCCCCGGAUGAGUGUACCUGAAGAAAAAGCAUCGGCUAACUCUGUGCCAGCAGCCGCGGUAAUACGGAGGAUGCGAGCGUUAUCCGGAUUUACUGGGUGUAAAGGGCGAGUAGGCGGGAUUGCAAGUCAGAUGUGAAAACUAUGGGCUCAACCGAUAGAGUGCAUUUGAAACUGCAGUUCUUGAGUGAUGGAGAGGCAGGCGGAAUUCCCGGUGUAGCGGUGGAAUGCGUAGAUAUCGGGAGGAACACCAGUGGCGAAGGCGGCCUGCUGGACAUUAACUGACGCUGAGGCGCGAAAGCGUGGGUAUCGAACAGGAUUAGAUACCCUCGUAA